CUGGACUUGACAUGUACUUGACAUCCGUAGAAAUACGGCUUUCUAGGCUUCGGUCUAGACGGGUACACAGGUGCUGCAUGGCUGUCGUCAGCUCGUGUCGUGAGAUGUUGGGUUAAGUCCUUUAACGAGCGCAACCCUUGCUAUCAGUUGCCACUUGCGUAAGCAAAGCACUCUGGUGGGACUGCCUGGGAAACCAGGAGGAAGGUGGGGACGACGUCAAGUCAUCAUGGUCCUUAUGUCCAGGGCUACACACGUGUUACAAUGGCUAGUACAGAGGGUUGCAAACCUGCAAAGGUGAGCUAAUCUCAGAAAGCUAGUCUAAGUUCGGAUUGAGGUCUGCAACUCGACCUCAUGAAGUUGAAAUCGCUAGUAAUCGCAUAUCAGAAUGAUGCGGUGAAUACGUUCUCGGGCCUUGUACACACCGCCCGUCACGCCAUGAAAGUCGUCUGUACCCGAAGUUGUUUUAGCCGACCCGCAAGGGGGGCGAGCACCUAAGGUAUGGGGGGUAAUUGGGGCG
Molecule: ribosomal RNA, 517 nt
Filed under: uncultured bacterium
Lineage: Bacteria
Description: bacterial SSU rRNA
Rfam family: Bacterial small subunit ribosomal RNA
Source: RNAcentral